RNAcentral lists this ribosomal RNA (385 nucleotides) under uncultured bacterium. Its description in RNAcentral is "bacterial SSU rRNA". It matches the Rfam family "Bacterial small subunit ribosomal RNA", at positions 28 to 391 of the family's 1533-position model. The record is from RNAcentral.
GACGAACGCUGGCGGCGUGCUUAACACAUGCAAGUCGAACGAGAAGAGAUGAGAAGCUUGCUUCUUAUCGAUUCGAGUGGCAAACGGGGUGAGUAACGCGUAAGCAACCUGCCCUUCAGAUGGGGACAACAGCUGGAAACGGCUGCUAAUACCGAAUACGUUCUUUUUGUCGCAUGGCAGAGGGAAGAAAGGGAGGCUCUUCGGAGCUUUGCUGAAGGAGGGGCUUGCGUCUGAUUAGCUAGUUGGAGGGGUAACGGCCCACCAAGGCGACGAUCAGUAGCCGGUCUGAGAGGAUGAACGGCCACAUUGGGACUGAGACACGGCCCAGACUCCUACGGGAGGCAGCAGUGGGGAAUCUUCCGCAAUGGACGAAAGUCUGACGGAG